UGGCCACUUUGGACUUUUGAUGCCUUUAAGU
Molecule: non-coding RNA, 31 nt
Filed under: Rattus norvegicus (Norway rat)
Lineage: Eukaryota; Metazoa; Chordata; Mammalia; Rodentia; Muridae
Source: RNAcentral